RNAcentral lists this ribosomal RNA (489 nucleotides) under uncultured bacterium. RNAcentral's name for it is "bacterial SSU rRNA". It matches the Rfam family "Bacterial small subunit ribosomal RNA", at positions 30 to 507 of the family's 1533-position model. The record is from RNAcentral.
UGAACGCUAGCUACAGGCUUAACACAUGCAAGUCGAGGGGCAGCAUGAACAUAGCUUGCUAUGUUUGAUGGCGACCGGCGCACGGGUGCGUAACACGUAUCCAAUCUGCCCGUUACUCGGGGGAUAGCCUUCUGAAAGGAAGAUUAAUACCCGAUGGCAUGUAUUUCCGGCAUCGGAGAUACAUUAAAGAUUUAUCGGUAACGGAUGAGGAUGCGUACGAUUAGCUGGUUGGCGGGGUAACGGCCCACCAAGGCGACGAUCGUUAGGGGUUCUGAGAGGAAGGCCCCCCACACUGGUACUGAGACACGGACCAGACUCCUACGGGAGGCAGCAGUGAGGAAUAUUGGUCAAUGGACGCAAGUCUGAACCAGCCAUGCCGCGUGCAGGAAGACGGCUCUAUGAGUUGUAAACUGCUUUUGUACAAGGGUAAACCCCGAUACGUGUAUCGGGCUGAAAGUACUGUACGAAUAAGGAUCGGCUAACUCCGUG